UACGAAGGGGGCUAGCGUUGUUCGGAUUUACUGGGCGUAAAGCGCACGUAGGCGGAUCGUUAAGUCGGGGGUGAAAUCCCGGGGCUCAACCCCGGAACUGCCUUCGAUACUGGCGAUCUCGAGUCCGGAAGAGGUGAGUGGAACUCCUAGUGUAGAGGUGGAAUUCGUAGAUAUUAGGAAGAACACCAGUGGCGAAGGCGGCUCACUGGUCCGGUACUGACGCUGAGACGCGAAAGCGUGGGGAGCGAACAGG
RNAcentral lists this ribosomal RNA (253 nucleotides) under uncultured bacterium. RNAcentral's name for it is "partial 16S ribosomal RNA". It matches the Rfam family "Bacterial small subunit ribosomal RNA", at positions 524 to 776 of the family's 1533-position model. The record is from RNAcentral.